Molecule: long non-coding RNA, 1074 nt
Filed under: Carica papaya (papaya)
Lineage: Eukaryota; Viridiplantae; Streptophyta; Magnoliopsida; Brassicales; Caricaceae
Description: long non-coding RNA (CPAP_LNC011348)
Source: RNAcentral
CUGGUUUCGACUCUCUCUUUUCUCUCAUAAUAUACGUAUAUGUGUAUGUAUGCGAUGUAUAUCUGUAUCUACAUAUACAUUCUUAUUCUCUCUUUUGUCAAUUUGAGUGAUCACAGAACAAAUUUUUGCAUGGUUAUAGCACAAACCCUGGUCUCUACUCUCCCUCUCUCUUCUCUCAUAAUAUAUGCAUAGGUGUAUGUAUUGAUGUAUAUCUAUAUGUACAUAUGUAUAUAUUCACAUUCUCUCUUUAUGAAUUUGAGUGAUGAUAGAAUAAAUUUUUGCAUCUUCAUAAUAGAAACCCUGGUCUCUACUCUCUGUCUCUCUUCUCUCAUAAUGUAUGCAUAGGUGUAUGUAUUGAUGUAUAUCUAUAUGUACAUAUAUAUAUAUAUUCAUAUUCUCUCUUUAUGAAUCUGAGUGAUGAUAGAAUAAAUUUUUGCAUCUUCAUGAUAAAAACCCUGGUCUCUACUCUCUAUCCAUCUCCCUCUCUCUGUCUCUCUUCUCUCAUAAUAUAUGUAUAGGUGUAUGUAUUGAUGUAUAUCUAUAUGUACACAUGUAUUCACAUUCUCUCUUUAUGAAUUUGAGUGAUGAUAGAAUAAAUUUUUGCAUCUUCAUAAUAAAAACCCUGGUCUCUACUCGCUAUCCAUCUCCCUCUCUCUGUCUCUCUUCUCUCGUAAUAUAUGUAUAGGCGUAUGUAUUGAUGUAUAUCUAUAUGUACAUAUAUAUAUAUAUUCAUAUUCUCUCUUUAUGAAUCUGAGUGAUCAUAGAAUAAAUUUUUGCAUCUUUAUAAUAAAAACCCUGGUCUCAACUAUCUCUCUCUCUCUCUCUUCUCUCAUAAUAUAUGUAUGUGUAUAUGUAUAGGUGUAUGUAAAUGAUAUAUAUCUAUAUGUACAUAUAUAUUCAUACUCUCUCUUUAUGAAUUUGAGUGACCACUGAAUAAAUUUUUGCACGAUUAUAAUAAAAACCCUGGUCUCUACUCCCUCUCUCUCUCUAUUUUAUCUCAUAACAUGUGUAUGUGUCUACACGUACAGGUAUAUGUAUAUGAUGUAUAUAUAAUGUGUACGUAUAUGUGUGUUG